Molecule: ribosomal RNA, 450 nt
Filed under: uncultured organism
Description: partial 16S ribosomal RNA
Rfam family: Bacterial small subunit ribosomal RNA
Source: RNAcentral
ACGUACACUCCUACGGGAGGCAGCAGUGGGGAAUAUUGGACAAUGGGCGCAAGCCUGAUCCAGCCAUGCCGCGUGAGUGAUGAAGGCCCUAGGGUUGUAAAGCUCUUUCACCGGUGAAGAUAAUGACGGUAACCGGAGAAGAAGCCCCGGCUAACUUCGUGCCAGCAGCCGCGGUAAUACGAAGGGGGCUAGCGUUGUUCGGAUUUACUGGGCGUAAAGCGCACGUAGGCGGACUAUUAAGUCAGGGGUGAAAUCCCGGGGCUCAACCCCGGAACUGCCUUUGAUACUGGUAGUCUUGAGUUCGAGAGAGGUGAGUGGAAUUCCGAGUGUAGAGGUGAAAUUCGUAGAUAUUCGGAGGAACACCAGUGGCGAAGGCGGCUCACUGGCUCGAUACUGACGCUGAGGUGCGAAAGCGUGGGGAGCAAACAGGAUUAGAAACCCCUGUAGUCC